CUUGGCAUCCAAUGUCAGUAAAGGUGAGGGUUACAGUAGCUUGUCUUGGCACCUAAUGUCAAUAAAGGUGAGGGUUACAGUAGCCUGUCUUGGCAUCCAAUGUCAGUAAAGGUGAGGGUUACAGUAGCUUGUCUUGGCAACCAAUGUCAGUAAAGGUGAGGGUUACAGUAUCUUGUCUUGGCACCUAAUGUCAAUAAAGGUGAGGGUUACAGUAGC
Long non-coding RNA from Haliotis rubra (blacklip abalone), 216 nucleotides. RefSeq lists it as uncharacterized. The transcript has 3 exons. Lineage: Eukaryota; Metazoa; Mollusca; Gastropoda; Lepetellida; Haliotidae. The record is from RefSeq and is a predicted model, not a curated record.